RNAcentral lists this ribosomal RNA (512 nucleotides) under Phaseolus lunatus (lima bean). RNAcentral's name for it is "eukaryotic LSU rRNA". The stretch from base 344 to 512 matches the Rfam family "Eukaryotic large subunit ribosomal RNA", at positions 1 to 169 of the family's 3401-position model. Lineage: Eukaryota; Viridiplantae; Streptophyta; Magnoliopsida; Fabales; Fabaceae. The record is from RNAcentral.
UUUAGCGAUAUAACCUGUGUGAAUUGCAGAAUCCCGUGAACCAUCGAGUCUUUGAACGCAAGUUGCGCCCAAAGCCAUUAGGCUGAGGGCACGCCUGCCUGGGUGUCACACAUCGUCACCCCUUCCUCCACACUUAACCAGUUAAAUGUGAGGCAGUGGGUGAAAGUUGACCUCCCGCGAGCCAGUUCCUCGUGGUUGGUUGAAAAGCAAGUUCGGGGCGGAGUCCCCCGCGAUAACGGUGGAUGAGCCCACGCUCGAGACCAAUCGUGCCUGUGGGACUCCGACGUAACGGACUUAUCGACCCCACACGCGCCCUCUGUGCAAACCGAGUGUGCCAUCUACGAGACCUCAGGUCAGGCGGGGCUACCCGCUGAGUUUAAGCAUAUCAAUAAGCGGAGGAAAAGAAACUAACAAGGAUUCCCCUAGUAACGGCGAGCGAACCGGGAAAAGCCCACCAUGAGAAUCGGUCGCCUUCGGCGUUCGAAUUGUAUCGGAAAAAAAAAAGUCACAAA